RNAcentral lists this unclassified non-coding RNA (235 nucleotides) under Hevea brasiliensis (rubber tree). Lineage: Eukaryota; Viridiplantae; Streptophyta; Magnoliopsida; Malpighiales; Euphorbiaceae. The record is from RNAcentral.
UCUAAAAAGAUGAACCACCCCGCCCAGCCAAAAAAGAAAAAACAAAUGCAUGUGUAUAUAAAACAAAUGCAUGUGUAUAUCUACAAUAGAAUUUAAUAUUGAUUAAUAGAAAAUAUGCUGAUGAAAACUAUUUGUGGUAUCACAGAAAUUAAGGUCAAACAUCAGCAUCAACAUUCUAGAGCCAAGACCUUAAAGAGAAUCAAUUUAAGGUAGUGAGAAUGGUACUUUGGUCCUG